Molecule: long non-coding RNA, 1592 nt
Filed under: Nicotiana tabacum (common tobacco)
Lineage: Eukaryota; Viridiplantae; Streptophyta; Magnoliopsida; Solanales; Solanaceae
Description: long non-coding RNA (NTAB_LNC000136)
Source: RNAcentral
UCAAGGCUUUUCUUCUUCUUUAGCAGAUUGCUUCAUUGAAACAAAGUGUUUACUUCCCGACAGAGAUUCAGAUGUUGGUGAUGCUUCUGGUGGAGCAAAUGAAGAACAAUCUCAUAAUCCUUCCAUUGCUGAAACAUUCCAAAUGGUACCUAAAGUUGCUCAUCGUGAGUUAAACAGCCAAGAAAGAGAAACUGCUGUCUCACGGUACAAGGAGAAAAAGAAAACAAGGAGGUAUAGACACUCGCUUUUUCAUUCUGUGUUUAGUCCUUUCAAAUUUCAAGUCUGUGGUGUAUCAGUGUAUAGGCCUCCUGUGAUGUUCAAGUCUAAAUAUUCUAAAUUUCUUAUUGCUAUCUUUUAAAUGUUUUGCAUAUUAGGUGUUAGCUUACUGGGUAAGGGUUAUUUGCACCUGAUAUGUUCUGUUUAAACUGUUAGAGUUCCGGUCCAACAAAUAGGCAAGACACUUUACAUACCUGAACGAUAUAAUUUGUUUGUGGUUGUUUGUUCUUGAUGUAACACUGUCGGCAUCUCUCAAUCAUCGAAUGGCUAUAGUUCCUUUCCAAAUUGUGGUACUAUAGUUCCAUCGGAGCCAUUCACUAUAUUAUAGGAUGGACGAUUUGGGGGCAUAGAAUGUUAUAUAUCUGAUCUUCAGAUAAUCAUAAUUACCAACUUAUCCUCAGAGAACAAGUAAUGAAGAAGAAAAGUGGCAAUCUGAAAAGGAGCAGAAAGUUAUCGAAAAAGACUACUAAGCUUGUUUGGCACUUUGAAAUUAAUUGUGAAUAGAUGUUUAUAAAUCCUGUGUUCAACAAGUUCCUGAUGAUGUCAAUAAUGUCCUAUAUAGCUCCAUAUUUAGUGCUACAUUGACUAGAUUCUGUGACAUUGCUUUCAUUCCACAAGACAUGUACUACACUCAAAUUAUCUUUUUAGAGCACAUCCAAGCGCGCUUUCUUUAUGACAAUGUAAAACUCAAUCUUGCAUCCAAAGUAUGAUUUAUCUACGAUCCUGUUGUUCAAAAAGUCAAAAUAGGAGAUGCUUUAUGAUGGGCUCUUAAGACAUUAUGGACCAGUUAUUGUUCAUUCUGUCUUGAUUGGUGUUGUCUUUUUAUUAACUAUCAUGUUUCUUGACUGAGAUGUUUUCAUCAAGAUAUGAGAAGCAUAUUAGGUACGUGUCAAGGAAGGUUCGGGCAGAAAGUAGGACAAGAAUCAAGGGGCGUUUUGCCAAGAUGGACAUGCAUCAGUAAUGUCAAACCUUCUUUUUCCAAAUAAGGUUGCGGAAGCAAACAAUCCAGGACAUUUUGCCGGUUCAUUUGGUCUGCCGUAAUGAAGGUUUUGUUAGUUUGUGUCAUGUGCAUUGUUCAAAUCUUUUAUCAGCUCUCCGCAUCUAUAGAGGCAAUAGGGAAUCCUUUCUUUCAGCAUGUACCUAUAAUAAUUUGUAAAGAUAAAAGUUGAUAAAUCAUGUAGCUGUGCUAAGAGAAGAAAGAGAAAAGAGUGAGAUUUAGUAUAGAUGUUUUAUCUAUAGCUUGCUGUGGUAUGUAGGCUUUUGCUGUUCAGCUCAUAACUCAUUGAAGUAUCUAAUCAAAUUAGUCCACUUCUGCA